AGCGAACGCUGGCGGCAGGCUUAACACAUGCAAGUCGAGCGGGCACUUCGGUGUCAGCGGCAGACGGGUGAGUAACACGUGGGAACGUACCCUUUGGUUCGGAAUAACGCUGGGAAACUAGCGCUAAUACCGGAUACGCCCUUUUGGGGAAAGGCUUGCUGCCGAAGGAUCGGCCCGCGUCUGAUUAGCUAGUUGGUGGGGUAAUGGCCUACCAAGGCGACGAUCAGUAGCUUGUCUGAGAGGAUGAUCAGCCACACUGGGACUGAGACACGGCCCAGACUCCUACGGGAGGCAGCAGUGGGGAAUAUUGGACAAUGGGCGCAAGCCUGAUCCAGCCAUGCCGCGUGAGUGAUGAAGGCCUUAGGGUUGUAAAGCUCUUUUGUCCGGGACGAUAAUGACGGUACCGGAAGAAUAAGCCCCGGCUAACUUCGUG
This 433-nucleotide ribosomal RNA is filed under the name uncultured bacterium. RNAcentral describes it as "partial 16S ribosomal RNA". It matches the Rfam family "Bacterial small subunit ribosomal RNA", at positions 29 to 507 of the family's 1533-position model. The record is from RNAcentral.